Molecule: ribosomal RNA, 315 nt
Filed under: uncultured Campylobacter sp.
Lineage: Bacteria; Pseudomonadati; Campylobacterota; Epsilonproteobacteria; Campylobacterales; Campylobacteraceae
Description: bacterial SSU rRNA
Rfam family: Bacterial small subunit ribosomal RNA
Source: RNAcentral
UGGGGAAUAUUGCACAAUGGGGGGAAACCCUGAUGCAGCCAUGCCGCGUGUGUGAAGAAGGCCUUCGGGUUGUAAAGCACUUUUGCAUUCGAGGAAGACAGCGUAUAAAUAAAUGCGCUAUUUGACGUUAGAGUGUGAAUAAGCACCGGCAAACUCCGUGCCAGCAGCCGCGGUAAUACGGAGGGUGCAAGCGUUACUCGGAAUCACUGGGCGUAAAGGACGCGUAGGCGGAUUAUCAAGUCUUUGUGAAAUCUAAUGGCUUAACCAUUAAACUGCUUGAGAAACUGAUAAUCUAGAGUGAGGGAGAGGCAGAUG